GGACAAAAUGGGAUGAAUGGAUGAAGAUGGAGUGUAAAACUUCUUAGAAGGUUCACCUCUUGAAAUCAUAUAGAAAAUGAUUCAAGUGUGUCCUUUGGAAUAGGCAAUGAGCAAUAACAAACAAGCAAAGCAAAGGAAGAAAGUCAACAAAAGCGGAUACCGGAUGCCAAUCACUGGUCUUAUACUAAUCUCCUAAAACAGAACUGGAUAUCAGAGGCCACUCUAUGGACUUAUACCAAUCUCCUCAACAAAGAAAUAAAACGUGGAUACCGGAUGCCAAUCUAUCUGGACUUAUACCAACCUCCAACAAAAACAAAGCAAACACUUGGAUGUCAGAUGCCAAUCUAUCUGGGCUUACUCUAACCUCCAAUAUAUGAUCAUAGGAAAACAAAUGCCAAAUUACA
Molecule: long non-coding RNA, 404 nt
Filed under: Lathyrus oleraceus (garden pea)
Lineage: Eukaryota; Viridiplantae; Streptophyta; Magnoliopsida; Fabales; Fabaceae
Description: Pisum sativum (pea) long non-coding RNA (PSAT_LNC015104)
Source: RNAcentral